AACCGCGGACAUGGAUGAGCACUACAGCACAUUCUGGAGGCACACGCGGGUGGUUGACGACAUGCUGGUGUUCGAGAUGGACGGCGAGGUUCUCAGCUACGGACAGGUGGACAGGGCUGCUGGGACAGACAAGAAGGAUGGGGAGGAAGCGGCUGCUCGGGCUGCUUCAGGGGACAACGUUGGCGGCGUUAGGAAGGAGAAGGGGAAGGGGAAGAGGAAGUGGAAGGUGGGCAGGCCUGCGCUGAAGGCUCCUGCGCGCGAUUCCCCUCCGCAUUGGCAAAAGGGUCGGAAGAAGAAGAAAGGAGCAAAAAAUGGUGGUAAGAAGAUCCAGCUUGAGGAGGAAAAGGAAGAUAAAGGCGGAGGAGCUAAAAAUCGUGCUAAGAAGACCAAGUAUCGUGUGCGCGAUUCCCCUGCGCAUCGGCAGAAGAGUCAGGGAGAGAAGGACGGAGGAGAAAAUGGUGCUGAGAAGAUCAAGGAGGAGGAGGAGGAGGAAGAGGAGAAGGUGCCAGUGAUUAGCACGGGUAGGCCUCCGCUGAAGGCUCGUGUUCGUGAUUCCCCUGCGCUUUGGCAACAGGGUCAGAAGGAGAAGAAGGGAGUGAAAAAUGGUGCUAAGAAGAUCAAGUUGGAGGAUGAUGAUGAAGAGAAGCCUUCGAGGGAGCUGUCUGUGAAAACACUGAAUACUGUGAACAGAGAAAAGAAUUCAAGACAUGAUGCCGAGCCUCACAGACAUGAUCCGGGCUUAGAUGGUGUUGUAUGGCCUACACACAUAAUGGAGAGGCCAGAUUCAGAAUUCAAGGAAAGGUUGAUGUGUGUUCUCCGCAAACCAUUUAGCCAGGGAGAAUACGAUAUGUUGCUUGGCAAUGCUAGAAUUCGCCUUCCGGCAACAAAGAAAAGGCAGACGCGCAGCGGUGUGAAGUACUACGACUCAACACAUGAAAGGGUACAAUCAUAUUUUGAUUGUCACCCAGCACACGUCCAAAGGUCCAUGUCACGAUGGGAGUGCAAAGAUAAAUUCCCAACAGAUUCAUUAUAUUUGGUACAGUAUAAUAAAUGGCUGUUUUGCUUGAGAAGUUGUCUUUCCCAAUAAGACGAGAAAGUAGUAGCAAAUCAUAUUGGUACGUACCUGGUUUGAAGUAAUGUGAUCUUGCGAAACAAGUACGUGUAGAAAGCACCAGCAAACCCAAUCAGCUAGCUCUGUUGCGUGGAUUUUUCUUCUGGAUGGAGAAUAUUACGAAUGAGGACCAAUUCAGGCCAUGGAGUGAUGAUUUCAAACUUUACAAGAUUAUUCCUUCCAUGGAAUGAGAUUAUCUACAGAAUUACAGAAGACCUCUCCUUUCUCAACUAGAGAAACUGAGGGGUUUUCCCGUGGUAUUGUUAUUUGUCAGCACAACUCGUUCUAGUGAUUCUAAGAGAAACUAGUAGCCUAUCUUGGUACUCACGACCCCCCAAAUGAAUUAUCUUUAGACCCUAGUUUGCUCAGCCUCUCUUUCAGGUAGAAGGUUUAUGGACAAGACGUUGUCGACAGACAAUGUAUUGUUUUUGUAUAUGUGCAACUGCAGUCAUAACUUUGGAAUGCUCUAGUAAUGCUUCUUUCUUAUGGAA
This is an RNA transcript of Aegilops tauschii subsp. strangulata, 1602 nucleotides long. RefSeq lists it as uncharacterized. NCBI's taxonomy places the organism in Eukaryota, Viridiplantae, Streptophyta, Magnoliopsida, Poales, Poaceae. The record is from RefSeq and is a predicted model, not a curated record.